AAGGUGCUUUACAACAAUCAAUAAACAUUUUAAUACUUUACAAAACGUCAAGAAGUGAGCCAAGCGCAAUCCUUUGAGCGCCAAGCGGGCAGUGAGUGAUGAUGCAUUUCAUCCGCUCCUUGCCAUUGAUGACCGUUCCAUGCUCUCUAGUGGAGCCUGGAGGUAGGGAUCAUGAUCAGAGUGGU
The sequence is a small nucleolar RNA, 185 nucleotides long. Its record names the gene U3. It matches the Rfam family "Small nucleolar RNA U3". Rfam says of the family: Small nucleolar RNAs (snoRNAs) are involved in the processing and modification of rRNA in the nucleolus. There are two main classes of snoRNAs: the box C/D class, and the box H/ACA class. U3 snoRNA is a member of the box C/D class. The record is from Ensembl.